Long non-coding RNA from Diabrotica virgifera virgifera (western corn rootworm), 1282 nucleotides. RefSeq lists it as uncharacterized. The record is from RefSeq and is a predicted model, not a curated record. The transcript has 2 exons. Lineage: Eukaryota; Metazoa; Arthropoda; Insecta; Coleoptera; Chrysomelidae.
CAAAUUUGACACUUGUUUGUUGUUGUAUUUCCGUAUAUUUUUGUGGAAUUUUCUUAUAAUAUCGUAUAUUUGUUUAAUAUUUGUUGCGUUUUUAAGUAUAUAAGGACAAUAUUACCGUAAAUACUUAUUUGGGUCCUAUACAAAGACAGUAAUGACUUGUGAAGUGUGUUUUCGUAGCCGUGAUAUAAAGAUGAGUGGCGGUAACAUUUUAGCGUAGCUAUAGUAGAAACAACUCCAAAAUUCCUGAACCAGAUGGAAACAGAAUAAUGUUUUUUACAUUUCCCAAAUACCAUUAUCAAACAAUGGAUAAUAAAAUGUUGCCAUAAAGAUAAACGGGCCUGUGAACAUAGAAAAUAUGUAGCAAACACUUCCUCGUGUCUGAAUGUGUUAAUAUUAUGUUAUGUGUUUUUUGUAUUUUAACCUACCUACCUCAGUGGUUGGCAAACUUUUUAGCCAAAGAGCCAAAUAUGAACAUUACAACAAUUUAAAAAAAUUGGGAGCCAAAUCUGCUUGUUCAGCAAACUUUUAUUACACUAAAUAAAACUAAAGGGUCUAGCGACAUUCUAAAAAUAAAAAAACCACUUGUUCUAUAAUAAAAAGUAUUCGACUAAAAAAAUUUUUAAAAGCCCAAUCCACAAGCCCCCAAAAACUUAAAUGUGUUUUUGUGUAGAAAUUUCUAUUUUCUUUCGUUUUGUAAGGUUUUAUUUUCUACAACACUGUAUCAUUUUCAAAAAAUUUUUCACAAAAUCCAUUUUUUUAAUGUUGAUGUGUAGAACAGAAAAGGGAAAGAACAGCAAACGAACUUUUUCAGCUGAUUAUAAGAAUCAGGAAUACUGUUUCAAGCGUUGAAAAUGAUCAUGUCUUCCUUUUCCAGGUGAUUCAAAGUAGACCACUUGUGUUGUGAAUAUUUUUUCCUUCUCCAAUAUUUCCAAUUUAACACAAAGACGUUCGAAAUUAGAGCGCCAUAACUCCUUGUUCUUAAAUCCAGAAAUUGUAUUUCAAAGCUAUUAAUGCCAAUUUCAAAAGGAGAAAAUUUCAACUCGGUUAUUGUAGCAUUAAGAGGAUUGUUGACAAAUGCUAAAAAGAUUGAUAAAAGUUAAUUUAUCAGAAUAAGAUGUAGGUACAAUGUUUUCCUACCAAGUUUUUUUUAAAUGAAAAUAUUAUUGCGCUUUCCGUGGAUAUUUGUGCCAGAGCCGCACCUAAGGAGCAAAAGAGCCACCUGCGGCUCUGGAGCCGCACUUUGCCGACCACUGACCUACCUAAUAAUAAAUUAUUUAUAUUA